AUACCGGCGGCUCGAGUGGUGGCCACUUUUAUUGGGCUUAAAGCGUUCGUAGCUGGGUUGCUAAGUCCCUUGGGAAAUCCGACGGCUUAACCGUCGGGCGUCUAAGGGAUACUGGUAAUCUUGGAACCGGGAGAGGUGAGGGGUACGUUCGGGGGUAGGAGUGAAAUCCUGUAAUCCUCGAGGGACCACCUGUGGCGAAGGCGCCUCACCAGAACGGCUUCGACAGUGAGGGACGAAAGCUGGGGGAGC
This 249-nucleotide ribosomal RNA is filed under the name uncultured bacterium. RNAcentral's name for it is "partial 16S ribosomal RNA". It matches the Rfam family "Archaeal small subunit ribosomal RNA", at positions 473 to 720 of the family's 1478-position model. The record is from RNAcentral.